RNAcentral lists this unclassified non-coding RNA (368 nucleotides) under fungal sp. Its description in RNAcentral is "partial internal transcribed spacer region". The stretch from base 1 to 46 matches the Rfam family "Eukaryotic small subunit ribosomal RNA", at positions 1786 to 1831 of the family's 1831-position model. Lineage: Eukaryota; Fungi. The record is from RNAcentral.
AAGUCGUAACAAGGUUUCCGUAGGUGAACCUGCGGAAGGAUCAUUAACACGUUUCGUUCCGAACGUUUUCUGACCAUUCUUAUUUUCCGUGCACAAAAAAUACACCCGGCCUCCUGACCAAACUUCUACUUUAUUGUGGAUUUUGUGCCAGGCGCCUUCAGGGUUCAUAGGCAGUUUUUGCGAUUUGAUGUUCUGAAAAAAUUCAUUUUCUAGUACGAACAUUUUUUCGCAUAAGCACACCUCCUGUCGGCGUUGCCAAACAACCCAACCCUUGAACCUAAUUGCUCUGAACUCUUAGUUGUGCUGAUUAAUUUCACACAGCGAAUAAAAACAAACAACAACUCUUAACAACGGAUAUCUUGGUUCUC